UACGAACUGUGCGAACGUUAUUCGGAAUCACUGGGCUUAAAGGGUGCGUAGGCGGUUUGUUAAGUCAGGUGUGAAAGCCCCCGGCUCAACCGGGGAACAGCGCUUGAAACUAGCAGACUGGAGUGAGGUAAGGGUGUGCGGAACUUCCAGUGGAGCGGUGAAAUGUGUAGAUAUUGGAAGGAACGCCGGUGGCGAAAGCGGCACACUGGGCCUUGUCUGACGCUGAGGCACGAAAGCCAGGGGAGUGAACGGG
RNAcentral lists this ribosomal RNA (253 nucleotides) under uncultured bacterium. Its description in RNAcentral is "partial 16S ribosomal RNA". It matches the Rfam family "Bacterial small subunit ribosomal RNA", at positions 524 to 776 of the family's 1533-position model. The record is from RNAcentral.